GUUCAGCAACUCGAUCCCGGACUGGUCCAAUCAAUAGUGUCUACCGUUGCAGCGGAGGACACCCGACAACUGGCAGCGACUUUACCAGCCCUCACUUCGCCAACUGACGAGUUUCCAGCGACUCGAAGCGUUUCAGCUACGCCAGAACCAGCAGAGGAGCGUCGUUUGUCUGCGCCACCAUUGCCUGCAAGUUCAGCCACGACUCUGGUGGAGGGAGCGAUAGCUGCGGCUCACUCUAGGAUAGCAGGUGCGCCUCAGUUAUUG
Molecule: non-coding RNA, 264 nt
Organism: Paramuricea clavata
Lineage: Eukaryota; Metazoa; Cnidaria; Anthozoa; Malacalcyonacea; Plexauridae
Source: the annotation of a GenBank genome assembly